UCCCACCAUCUGACUCACUCAGGCCACUAGGAGGGGCAACAGAAAUACCUUGGUCAGUAGUUCGCUCCCCCUUCGAGGACCUCAGGGUCACCGAUGGCCCUUCAGGCACACCACUGUCAACCAUAGCAGCCUGUGCCAUUCUUACUUUCUCUUCAGAGGGCUCAGCAGAAAACCCUCCUCUUCUCCCACCAGGAAGCAGGGGCAGCUGGAGGCAUGUGCCCCAGAAAGCUGUUCCCGGGAGGUGUCUCAGUGGACUUCCACCACACAGCUUCCUGAAGCGGGUGCCAGGAAAUUCUGCUGACCUCCAAGUGCUCCUGGCUAUCCUGCAUCAGCGGACACAGAUAUCUCCAGGAUCUCCAGGAUCUCAAAGCAGCCCAAGGAAGGGAAGAAGUAAGUUCCUUGAUCAGAAGCAGUGAGUGCUGUGCAGAUUACCAUGACACUGAACGAGGCAUUCCAGAAUCCACAGCAGCACUCCUGGCAGAGGCAAUAGAGACAGCAAAGGCUCUCCAAGGGAAGAAGAGAAAGAAAGGCAUCGGCUCUCAAACUGGAGCGCACGUCAGAAUCACCUAGAAGAUGAGGAAACUGAGCUACGAAAGACAGUAGCCUGCCCAGAGUUACCCAGGUGGCAGGCAAUGAAGCAAUCUGACCCCUGUUCAGAGGCCUGAGGGAAAUGCUGAGGGGUGGAGAGAGGGGCAGAGAGAGAGAGAGUGAGAAUGCACAGGAGUUCAGGACACAGACAUAUACAGAGGGAAGACCAUGUGAGGACAGAGGAAGGACAUGGCCAUCUACAAGCUAAGGAGAGAGGCCUCAGAAGAAAUCAAUCCAGCUAACAUCUUGAUCUCGGACCUCUAGCCUCCAGACCUUGAGGAACUGAAUUUCUGUUGUUUAAGCCAUGCAGCUCACAGUAUUUGUUACUGCAGCCCCAGCAAACUAAUACCCCAACAAAUG
Suricata suricatta (meerkat) is the source of this 948-nucleotide long non-coding RNA. RefSeq lists it as uncharacterized. NCBI's taxonomy places the organism in Eukaryota, Metazoa, Chordata, Mammalia, Carnivora, Herpestidae. The transcript is spliced from 7 exons. The record is from RefSeq and is a predicted model, not a curated record.